RNAcentral lists this ribosomal RNA (838 nucleotides) under Klebsiella pneumoniae subsp. pneumoniae WGLW1. Its description in RNAcentral is "bacterial SSU rRNA". It matches the Rfam family "Bacterial small subunit ribosomal RNA", at positions 8 to 837 of the family's 1533-position model. Lineage: Bacteria; Pseudomonadati; Pseudomonadota; Gammaproteobacteria; Enterobacterales; Enterobacteriaceae. The record is from RNAcentral.
AGAGUUUGAUCAUGGCUCAGAUUGAACGCUGGCGGCAGGCCUAACACAUGCAAGUCGAGCGGUAGCACAGAGAGCUUGCUCUCGGGUGACGAGCGGCGGACGGGUGAGUAAUGUCUGGGAAACUGCCUGAUGGAGGGGGAUAACUACUGGAAACGGUAGCUAAUACCGCAUAAUGUCGCAAGACCAAAGUGGGGGACCUUCGGGCCUCAUGCCAUCAGAUGUGCCCAGGUGGGAUUAGCUAGUAGGUGGGGUAACGGCUCACCUAGGCGACGAUCCCUAGCUGGUCUGAGAGGAUGACCAGCCACACUGGAACUGAGACACGGUCCAGACUCCUACGGGAGGCAGCAGUGGGGAAUAUUGCACAAUGGGCGCAAGCCUGAUGCAGCCAUGCCGCGUGUGUGAAGAAGGCCUUCGGGUUGUAAAGCACUUUCAGCGGGGAGGAAGGCGGUGAGAUUAAUAACCUUGUCGAUUGACGUUACCCGCAGAAGAAGCACCGGCUAACUCCGUGCCAGCAGCCGCGGUAAUACGGAGGGUGCAAGCGUUAAUCGGAAUUACUGGGCGUAAAGCGCACGCAGGCGGUCUGUCAAGUCGGAUGUGAAAUCCCCGGGCUCAACCUGGGAACUGCAUUCGAAACUGGCAGGCUAGAGUCUUGUAGAGGGGGGUAGAAUUCCAGGUGUAGCGGUGAAAUGCGUAGAGAUCUGGAGGAAUACCGGUGGCGAAGGCGGCCCCCUGGACAAAGACUGACGCUCAGGUGCGAAAGCGUGGGGAGCAAACAGGAUUAGAUACCCUGGUAGUCCACGCCGUAAACGAUGUCGAUUUGGAGGUUGUGCCCUUGAGG